RNAcentral lists this ribosomal RNA (466 nucleotides) under uncultured bacterium. Its description in RNAcentral is "partial 16S ribosomal RNA". It matches the Rfam family "Bacterial small subunit ribosomal RNA", at positions 339 to 795 of the family's 1533-position model. The record is from RNAcentral.
CUACGGGCCGCAGCAGUCGAGAAUAGUCUACAAUGGACGAAAGUCUGAUAGUGCAACGCCGCGUGGGUGAUGAAGCAUUUCGGUGUGUAAAACCCUUUUCUUUGUGAGCAGUGCCGCUAUGAUUAAUAGUUAUAGCGGAGGGAUAUUAGCAGAGGAAUAAGCCACGGCUAACUCCGUGCCAGCAGCCGCGGUAACACGGGGGUGGCGAGCGUUGUCCGGAAUCACUAGGCGUAAAGGGCAAGUAGGCGGAGUAUCUAGUCAGAUGUUAAAGGCAUUGGCUCAACCAAUGGAGGGCAUUUGAUACUGGUAUUCUAGAAUUUGGUAUGGGAAGACGGAAUUCCUGGUGUAGCGGUGGAAUGCGCAGAUAUCAGGAAGAACACCGGAGGCGAAGGCGGUCUUCUGGGCCAAAAUUGACGCUGAAUUGCGAAGGUGUGGGUAUCAAACAGGAUUAGAUACCCCCGUAGUC